RNAcentral lists this ribosomal RNA (287 nucleotides) under Ochromonas sp. CCMP1393. RNAcentral's name for it is "partial Bacterial large subunit ribosomal RNA". It matches the Rfam family "Bacterial large subunit ribosomal RNA", at positions 2615 to 2912 of the family's 2925-position model. The record is from RNAcentral. Lineage: Eukaryota; Chrysophyceae; Chromulinales; Chromulinaceae.
AACGUCGUGAGACAGUUCGGUCCCUAUCUGCCGUGGGUGUAGGAAGUUUGAGAGGAUCUGCCUUUAGUACGAGAGGACCGAGGUGGACGUACCCCUGGUGGACCAGUUGUCGUGCCAACGGCACAGCUGGGUAGCUAAGUACGGAAGGGAUAACCGCUGAAUGCAUCUAAGCAGGAAACCCACCUCAAAACUAGACUUCCCCAUUAGAGCCGUGGAAGACCACCACGUUGAUAGGUCAGGUGUGGAAGCACAGUAAUGUGUGUAGCUAACUGAUACUAAUAGCUCGA